UUAAGUCCCGCAACGAGCGCAACCCUUGUCCGCUGUUGCCAUCACGUUAUGGUGGGCACUCUGCGGAGACUGCCGGUGAUAAACCGGAGGAAGGUGGGGAUGACGUCAAGUCAGCAUGGCCUUUAUGUCUGGGGCUACACACGUGCUACAAUGGCCGGUACAAACCGUCGCAAAACCGUAAGGUCGAGCUAAUCGGAGAAAGCCGGUCUCAGUUCGGAUUGCAGGCUGGAGAGGAGCCUGCAUGAAGUUGGAAUCGCUAGUAAUCGCGGAUCAGCACGCCGCGGUGAAUACGUUCCCGGGCCUUGUUCGCGCCGCCCGUCACAUCACGAAAGCUGGCUGUACAGGGCUACCGCGCUAACCCGCAAGGGAGGCAAGUGCCUAAGG
Molecule: ribosomal RNA, 384 nt
Filed under: uncultured Acidobacteriota bacterium
Lineage: Bacteria; Pseudomonadati; Acidobacteriota
Description: bacterial SSU rRNA
Rfam family: Bacterial small subunit ribosomal RNA
Source: RNAcentral